This 359-nucleotide ribosomal RNA is filed under the name uncultured bacterium. Its description in RNAcentral is "bacterial SSU rRNA". It matches the Rfam family "Bacterial small subunit ribosomal RNA", at positions 1139 to 1500 of the family's 1533-position model. The record is from RNAcentral.
GUCCGUGUUACGUCCGCGCAACCGGAGAAGGUGGGGAUGCGUCAAGUCAGCCGGCUCUUACAUCCUGGGCGACACACACGCUACAAUGGACGCGACAACGGGCAUGCCAAGCCGCAAGGCGGAGCGAAUCCCAUCAAAGGCGUCCUCAGUUCAGAUCGCAGUCUGCAACCCGACUGCGUGAAGGCGGAGUUGCUAGUACCGCGGGUCAGCACACCGCGGUGAAUACGUUCCCGGGCCUUGUACACACCGCCCGUCACGUCAUGAAAGCCGGCAACACCUGAAGCCACUGGCCGAACCCGCAAGGGACGGAGGUGUCGAGGGUGGGGCGGGUAAUUGGGACGAAGUCGUAACAAGGUAAC